AUGCACACUGGGGAGCUGACAAUGCUGAAGAAGACCCUCCUAACCAAAAUGCAGACCUACAUGAUGAACAACAAGAAGAAGAGGAGCCAUACAGUGAAGGUGAAGCUCCAGUGCAGCCUGCAGGUGCAGAUGAUGCUCAAGUACAGCCCCAUAGUGAAACAAAUGAGCCUCUUUGAUUUAUUUAUGUGCUUUUACCUGCAAAUAUCUCUUAUACUGUUACUAACCAACUAUUUCUUCCCUAUUUGUUAG
This 249-nucleotide ribosomal RNA is filed under the name Triticum aestivum (bread wheat). RNAcentral describes it as "partial small subunit ribosomal RNA". The record is from RNAcentral. Lineage: Eukaryota; Viridiplantae; Streptophyta; Magnoliopsida; Poales; Poaceae.